GGUUAUUAGCUCUCAGUUCGCUUCAAUACCAUUUGAGUGUUCCUCCUGUAUUUCCGUCUGAUUCAUGUCCACGUCUGGACCGCCGGAAGUUGCUACAUCGAUCAUAGAGCCUGAUGCGCUCGCUACUCCCUCCCCUACUUCACUAGAUUGCACAACGGUCUGCUCAUCGACUGAUAGCUGUUUCUGAACAGAUGGUUUCGGAUGUCGAAUGGCAGCUGCAGCUUCGGGCAUGACAACUGAGGGAGGUUGAGGCGGGACCCACCCCCGCUGGAUGGGCCGCUCAGUUUGAUAAGACAACUGUCUUCGUUCCUCACCUUCUGGUUCAAUUUCUGUGAUUUUUACUGUCUUCGUCCACCCGGGAUCUGUCAUGUCAUGAGCCCUGUCAUAAAUCUGAGAAGACCCGUUGUACGGUAAUUCGGAGCUGAAUCCUUCACCGCUUGAUUGGGACUGGAGAUUGUAACUUGACCUUUGCGGAGGGACCUCCCACGGCUUUGGUCUAGGUGCUAAAAGUGAUUUCGAUGGAGGCUGAUUUGGAUUUGGAG
This 542-nucleotide unclassified non-coding RNA is filed under the name Hevea brasiliensis (rubber tree). The record is from RNAcentral. Lineage: Eukaryota; Viridiplantae; Streptophyta; Magnoliopsida; Malpighiales; Euphorbiaceae.